RNA transcript from Magnolia sinica, 932 nucleotides. RefSeq lists it as uncharacterized. The record is from RefSeq and is a predicted model, not a curated record. NCBI's taxonomy places the organism in Eukaryota, Viridiplantae, Streptophyta, Magnoliopsida, Magnoliales, Magnoliaceae. The transcript has 4 exons.
UAUAAUUUGGCAUAUCUAUGCAUCAAUCUCUCUUUCAUAACAAUGUUCACUGACAUGUGCUGCAGAAGAUGUUCUCACUUUAUGGGACCGAGACACAAAUGUUCUUGUAGCUGUAAUUGGAGAUACUCUUACAGUGAUUGUCUGAAUAUCAUUAUCUAAUUGUGUUGUGUGUGUAAAGUAGACAUUUGACGUGGAUCAUUGCUGAAAAAUGAUUGAUGGUUAUCAUACACAUUAAUUUGACGUGGAAGCUUACUAAAAGAGAUGAGGCCUUGGUGCAAAGCAAGAGUGCCAUAGAAAAAGUUGAAUUCUUGAAGAAACGAUGACCAAGAAAACGAGGCGAUUGAUUGAUAAACAGCCCGAUGGCAGUAGUGGAGGUUAUUCGGGUGGGAUCCAUGAUCUUGAAACACAACUCAAGCUUUAUGGCUCUUGUAUCUUCUUGGAAGAAUGGCGAUACAAUGCCUUACAUAUUUGAUACAGUAAUACUAUGGCCUUUUGUUUUCUAGCGGAUCAUAUGUGCUUCCUUUUAUGUAUUUAUUUAUUAUUUAUUUUUAUAAAUCAAGUUACAUUCAAUUUUAGCCUUGAACAAUUCUUCCAUGGGAUUUUCAAUGAAUAGGAUUAUAAAAUAUAGAGGCAGAUUGAGCUUGCAAAAAUGUUGUUGGCGGAGGGACAAAGUCAUCUUUUUAUACAUUGGCCUGAACAAGGUGUUGAUGAUGAAGAAAAGAAAAGUUUCUUUGAUUAGGUUCAUUUUCAUGGCACUUUUUUUUUUGUUAUUAUUAUUUUGGUUCUUACGAGUACAAGAACCUUGUAUUCCAUGCAUUCUCAGUAUAUUUUUACAACUCAGCUGCUGUAUCCUAGAAAUAUUAAAUGGUCUCUGUUGAUUUCCAAGUCCAAGCAGCAAAAGUUUAACAUCGGUUUCAACUUUUAACCUUCCA